RNAcentral lists this transfer RNA (77 nucleotides) under Mollicutes bacterium. RNAcentral describes it as "tRNA-Arg". It matches the Rfam family "tRNA". From Rfam's summary of the family: Transfer RNA (tRNA) molecules are approximately 80 nucleotides in length. The record is from RNAcentral. Lineage: Bacteria; Bacillati; Mycoplasmatota; Mollicutes.
GCGCCCGUAGCUUAAUUGGAUAAAGCGUCUGGCUUCGGACCAGGAGACUGAGAGUUCAAGUCUUUCCGGGCGUGCCA